This 595-nucleotide ribosomal RNA is filed under the name Debaryomyces hansenii. Its description in RNAcentral is "eukaryotic LSU rRNA". The stretch from base 183 to 336 matches the Rfam family "5.8S ribosomal RNA". The record is from RNAcentral. Lineage: Eukaryota; Fungi; Ascomycota; Pichiomycetes; Serinales; Debaryomycetaceae.
GCGCUUAAUUGCGCGGCGAAAAAACCUUACACACAGUGUUUUUUGUUAUUACAAGAACUUUUGCUUUGGUCUGGACUAGAAAUAGUUUGGGCCAGAGGUUUACUGAACUAAACUUCAAUAUUUAUAUUGAAUUGUUAUUUAUUUAAUUGUCAAUUUGUUGAUUAAAUUCAAAAAAUCUUCAAAACUUUCAACAACGGAUCUCUUGGUUCUCGCAUCGAUGAAGAACGCAGCGAAAUGCGAUAAGUAAUAUGAAUUGCAGAUUUUCGUGAAUCAUCGAAUCUUUGAACGCACAUUGCGCCCUCUGGUAUUCCAGAGGGCAUGCCUGUUUGAGCGUCAUUUCUCUCUCAAACCUUCGGGUUUGGUAUUGAGUGAUACUCUUAGUCGAACUAGGCGUUUGCUUGAAAUGUAUUGGCAUGAGUGGUACUGGAUAGUGCUAUAUGACUUUCAAUGUAUUAGGUUUAUCCAACUCGUUGAAUAGUUUAAUGGUAUAUUUCUCGGUAUUCUAGGCUCGGCCUUACAAUAUAACAAACAAGUUUGACCUCAAAUCAGGUAGGAUUACCCGCUGAACUUAAGCAUAUCAAUAAGCGGAGGAAGG